GUGGCCGCGGCGGGCGGCGCGGUGCUGCCGCUGCGGUUCGGCAGCGUGUCGCCCGACGACGCGGCGGUCCGUUCGGCCCUGGCCGACCACGCC
Molecule: transfer RNA, 93 nt
Filed under: Streptomyces sp. MP131-18
Lineage: Bacteria; Bacillati; Actinomycetota; Actinomycetes; Kitasatosporales; Streptomycetaceae
Description: tRNA-OTHER
Source: RNAcentral